AUACCCCUUAUUUCUUAUUUUUAAAAUAUUGUCUAGACACAUAUUGACAAUUAAGUGCUUUUACUCUUUAUUGUUACUAUUACUUAAAAAAUAGCACUUUCCACAGUUGAGAAUAAUAAUAGCUUUUUUCAGGUUAAAUAAAAGUUUAACAUUUUUUGUAGUUACUACUCUCUUCAGGCUAAUUUCAAACUUCCAACAAUUUACGUAUAGAAUCACAACAUAACAUUGCUGUGGUUAUGUGUUGUUAAACAAUGUUAUUACACUCUUACAUAAGUACUAAAUUACAUAUACAUAAAUAUGAGAAAUAAUAAUAAGUGAAUCCUAAAAAAUAAAAUAAGAUCCAUAUAAAAGUAUUAUUCCUAUCUUGCAAAUUCAAUUAGUUUCAACAAGAUUUUAAAAAAAGAAAAAAGGGGUAAUUGAUAUUCACUCAUCCAUUACUCGUGUCAUUCCCUUCUUAUUGUUUCCAAUGCCAUUGGUAGUUCAGUAGCCAUUAUGUCAUUUAAUAAUCUCUUUUUUAUGCCUCCUUGUUAUUUCUAUCAUUUCUGCUGUCAAUGCCUUAGUUUUCUUCCUAAUCUGUUUUAUUAUUUUUGCAUUUUCUCAUUCUAUUUUCAAAUCUAUCAUAUAUGCUUCCAUUACCAAAGCUGUGUUCAUUGGCAAUGGAAGCAUAUCCCCUUGGCUAUGUCCUUUUUGUGUUGAUCCAAACUUUGGGCUAGGGUUAGAUAAGAGUGACAAUUGAACCCUAGCCAAAAGGUUUAGUGAACAGCAAUGAUAAACUGUUUUGUAAUAUUAAUGAAUUUGUUUAUCAUAAAUAUUAUAUAGUAUUCUAAUAAAUUGUCAACAGAAAUACUAGAGUCAAAUUAAAACAUAAAUUUUAAUUUUUUAGUAGAAAUUUUAUAUUCAGCUUUAAAUGUGAUUAUAUUUCUUGAUUAUUUGAAUGUAAUUUUUAAACUUUUAUCUUUAUUUCAAAAUUAAUCUGAAAAAUAUGAUGAUUUCUUAUGAUUGC
Molecule: long non-coding RNA, 1003 nt
Filed under: Androctonus crassicauda
Lineage: Eukaryota; Metazoa; Arthropoda; Arachnida; Scorpiones; Buthidae
Source: RNAcentral